GAUGAACGCUAGCGGGAGGCUUAAUACAUGCAAGUCGAGGGGUAGAUAGUCUUCGGAUUAUCGAGACCGGCGCACGGGUGCAUAACGCGUACACAACAUGCCUUAUACUGGGGUAUAGCUUCGGGAAACUGAUGGUAAUCCCCCACUGACAUUGCGGAAUCGCAUGGUUCUGCAAUUAAAGUUACAGGCGGUAUAAGAUUGGUGUGCGUUUGUAUUAGGUAGUUGGUAGGGUAACGGCCUACCAAGCCGACGAUCAAUAGCUGGCGUGAGAGCGCGACCAGCCACACUGGAACUGAGACACGGUCCAGACUCCUACGGGAGGCAGCAGU
This 329-nucleotide ribosomal RNA is filed under the name uncultured bacterium. Its description in RNAcentral is "bacterial SSU rRNA". It matches the Rfam family "Bacterial small subunit ribosomal RNA", at positions 28 to 355 of the family's 1533-position model. The record is from RNAcentral.